RNAcentral lists this ribosomal RNA (486 nucleotides) under Streptococcus mutans. RNAcentral describes it as "bacterial SSU rRNA". It matches the Rfam family "Bacterial small subunit ribosomal RNA", at positions 28 to 490 of the family's 1533-position model. The record is from RNAcentral. Lineage: Bacteria; Bacillati; Bacillota; Bacilli; Lactobacillales; Streptococcaceae.
GACGAACGCUGGCGGCGUGCCUAAUACAUGCAAGUGGGACGCAAGGGAACACACUGUGCUUGCACACCGUGUUUUCUUGAGUCGCGAACGGGUGAGUAACGCGUAGGUAACCUGCCUAUUAGCGGGGGAUAACUAUUGGAAACGAUAGCUAAUACCGCAUAAUAUUAAUUAUUGCAUGAUAAUUGAUUGAAAGAUGCAAGCGCAUCACUAGUAGAUGGACCUGCGUUGUAUUAGCUAGUUGGAAAGGUAAGAGCUUACCAAGGCGACGAUACAUAGCCGACCUGAGAGGGUGAUCGGCCACACUGGGACUGAGACACGGCCCAGACUCCUACGGGAGGCAGCAGUAGGGAAUCUUCGGCAAUGGACGAAAGUCUGACCGAGCAACGCCGCGUGAGUGAAGAAGGUUUUCGGAUCGUAAAGCUCUGUUGUAAGUCAAGAACGUGUGUGAGAGUGGAAAGUUCACACAGUGACGGAGCUACCAGAAAG